Molecule: non-coding RNA, 1666 nt
Organism: Momordica charantia (bitter melon)
Lineage: Eukaryota; Viridiplantae; Streptophyta; Magnoliopsida; Cucurbitales; Cucurbitaceae
Source: RefSeq, a predicted model, not a curated record
UCUUUCACUUACCUUUUCCACUCAAGCUCUCUCUCAAAUCUACCUCCAAGCCCUAACUCUGCUCCAAGCCCUUUCAGUUGACGACGCCCAGCCACCGUCCUUUCCCUCCUCACGAUUUGCACCGGUGCGCCACUCCGACGACCUGUAGUUCAUGCCUUUCACGAUCUCACUCACCCAGCUAUAGAAGCAGGGGAGACCAACGGAUGAUGCGUUCUUCGGAGACCUACGAACAGCUAGCGGCAUCGACAGAUCUCAGGGCAACACCCACCACACGAAGACCGGACGAACGACGACCCCUUCUAUUUCUGCCAACAACAAUCAAAUCUACGGCUCUUCCUUUUGCUGGCUUUUCUAUGGCUAUGUUUCUGUUCUACUCGUUCGCCCCAGUAUUGCUUUAGAGCCAAACAGUGAUGCAAGAUGGCAGUGGUCGGUGGACCUAUGACGCUUAGAUCUAUCGUGAGCCUCUCCUGCGCGACGACUAGCAAACCCUACCACCCAUCAAUGGCGUUACCAUGGGGCAGCAAGGAACGACUUUUAGCAGAUGAUGGUGAACAACGACUUUUAGAUAAACUGAGUUCGUUUAUAUUUGCAUUGAGAUGGCUAGAGUAUCUGGUGUUUCUAUUUCAUUUCUUCAUUCAAGAUGUCAAAGUAUCAAGGUACCUCUCAAUUUCUUAGAGAAGGUAAAAUAGAAAAGCGUUGUUAUUCCAAAUGCUAAACAAAUAGGACAUGACCAAGGAACUUCUAACAUUGCUACUGCUUCUAUGAAAACCCCGUUGCUAUGUUGGAUUUUGCAUCUCUGUAUCCAUCAUCGUGAUGACAUAUAAUUUAUAUUAUUGCAGUUUGGUGUUUGGCAUGAGUUGAUGCAGCCUUGAGAGCUCCAAUGGCUGGGUGUAUAGUUUUCGUUAAAAGAAGUAACAUCUUGGUAAAACCAUUUUCUUCCUCUUAAACAUAAACUAUUUGAAUGUUGACUUAUGUAGUGAUUGAGUGUUGUUUUGUCUCUGUCCUCUUUGUUAAUUUAUGUGCACUCUAAAAUGAAUCUAGAAGUAGUAACUUGUAUCGUCUCACAACUGUUCUGAACCAAUUUGGAUUCAUUGGAAAGUACUGUGAAAUUAAAUGAUAAGUAGAAAAUCACUUUUGCGGAGCGAACAUUAAGAAAGAAUUAACAAAUGACAACCUAUUCAAUAACCUAACUUUUAUUAGAGGUUUAAGAAUCUUUUUGUGUCAGAAAAUAAAAAUUGUACUCAUAUUUAAGGUUCAUGUUUUUGCUUAUUUGUACUUAAACUUGACUUAAAAAUAAGAAUUUAGAUACAAGAGUUUCUGUAAUAUGUUAGCUACAUUUUGUAGUUUGACCUUUCACGUUUACGCGAUAUGAACUCUAACAAUAUAUAAUAGUAAUAUUUCAGUUACAUUUGUUGUAGUUUGACCUUUUGCAGAUACUAUUGUGAAAUAUUUGAGGUUUUUGUCUAUUGCUUAGGUCUUCCAAGAAUAACCUGGAGAACCAUGGCGAAUAGCUACUUGGAAUAUUUAAAAUAUGACCGUUUGGGCCAUUUUUUGUUGGAUUAGCAGUUACUUGGGUACAAUUUUUGUUUAUAUACGAGAUUGGACAUGAAAAACCUUCGUUUAUGUAUAUAUAAUUUACUAUAUGUAUACACUUUAUAUUUGUAGG